RNAcentral lists this ribosomal RNA (281 nucleotides) under uncultured bacterium. RNAcentral's name for it is "partial 16S ribosomal RNA". It matches the Rfam family "Bacterial small subunit ribosomal RNA", at positions 29 to 334 of the family's 1533-position model. The record is from RNAcentral.
AGCGAACGCUGGCGGCAGGCCUAACACAUGCAAGUCGAGCGGCCGUAGCAAUACGGCAGCGGCAGACGGGAUAGUAACACGUGGGAACGCGCCCUUCGGUUCGGAAUAACUCAGGGAAACUUGAGCUAAUACCGGAUACGCCCUUACGGGGGAAAGAUUUAUUGCCGAAGGAACGGCCCGCGUCCGAUUAGCUAGUUGGUGAGGUAAUGGCUCACCAAGGCGACGAUCGGUAGCUGGUCUGAGAGGAUGACCAGCAUCACUGGGACUGAGACACGGCCCAG